CACUGGGGUGUGUGUGUGUGUAUGUAUAUAUAUAUAUAUAUAUAUAUACACACACACACACACUAAACCAAGUA
Non-coding RNA from Podarcis lilfordi (Lilford's wall lizard), 74 nucleotides. NCBI's taxonomy places the organism in Eukaryota, Metazoa, Chordata, Lepidosauria, Squamata, Lacertidae. The record is from the annotation of a GenBank genome assembly.